This 634-nucleotide long non-coding RNA is filed under the name Monodelphis domestica (gray short-tailed opossum). RNAcentral's name for it is "lncRNA (ENSMODG00000044440.1)". Lineage: Eukaryota; Metazoa; Chordata; Mammalia; Didelphimorphia; Didelphidae. The record is from RNAcentral.
GUACAUGUGAGAUACAGGAAAGUGAUGUAAAAACCAUCUAUAUAUUUCUCAUCAUUUCCUCUUUCUGGCUUCUUUGGCAGCAGAGAGGUGGCUGGCAGAGAGUGCUGAGCAUUUCAGCAUCUUGGGUGGCGGCUGCUAUUGUCCAGGUUUAGCAGUGAGUUUUCCUUGAUACCAUACUGGAGGAAGUUGAGUAGCCUGGUUCAGCCUUGGCACAUGGAAAUUACCAGAGUUCCUAGUUUUCUAGGCCUGCAAUGUUUACAUAGGGAAUGAAGAACUUUUAAAGAUUCUUUUUUGGGAGUUUUCAAAUGUCCAGUCUGUUCUGGUGUGGAUGUUUCCUGCAAUUAAUCUCAUUAAAUGAUUUUGGUGAGGCUCUUUUUGUGGACAGGUGGCUCUGGCUCUUGUGGAGGAGAGUUAGCUGAUGGCAUCCUGCUGGGCAUCUUGGCAUCUUGGCAUCUUGGUGUGGCUGCAGCUAUUGUACAGGUUUGGCAGUGAGCGUCCUUGAUACAAUAGUGGGAGAAGCUUAGUAGCCUAGUUCAGGGAAAACUGAAAGAGUAGCAUCAAUUUAUUUUAUUACAUGGCUCCUGUUGAGCUGGUCUAAUAAGAAUCUGUCCCACAAUAAAAUGAUAGUCUUUUU